AUGACUAUGAACCGCGCACGCGUUUACGCGCGUCUGGCCCGACGCAAGGUAACGUCGUUGUCGAUGUCCUGCCUAUGUGCGGACGUCGGUGCGGCGCCCCUGUUGUCGCUGCCGUGCAGUCUCAGACUGUGCGCGUCUCAGUCUGCGAUGAUUCAGUUUCGGGCACUCGCAGGACCCGUCUUGAAACACGGACCAAGGAGUCUAGCAUGUGUGCGAGUCAUUGAGAUUAAUAAACUGAAAGGCGUAACGAAAGUGAAGGCUUGCGCUUGUCGCGAGCUCAGGGAGGAUGGAGCGUCGGUCUAG
This 303-nucleotide ribosomal RNA is filed under the name Phthorimaea operculella (potato tuberworm). RNAcentral's name for it is "partial large subunit ribosomal RNA". It matches the Rfam family "Eukaryotic large subunit ribosomal RNA", at positions 596 to 769 of the family's 3401-position model. Lineage: Eukaryota; Metazoa; Arthropoda; Insecta; Lepidoptera; Gelechiidae. The record is from RNAcentral.